Molecule: ribosomal RNA, 122 nt
Filed under: Pseudogymnoascus sp.
Lineage: Eukaryota; Fungi; Ascomycota; Leotiomycetes; Thelebolales; Thelebolaceae
Description: partial large subunit ribosomal RNA
Rfam family: Eukaryotic large subunit ribosomal RNA
Source: RNAcentral
CGGUAACAGCUCAAAUUUGAAAUCUGGCCUCACGGUCCGAGUUGUAAUUUGUAGAGGAUGCUUCGAGCAUGGUCUGGCCUAAGUUCCUUGGAACAGGACGUCAUAGAGGGUGAGAGCCCCGU